This 185-nucleotide microRNA precursor is filed under the name Paramuricea clavata. Lineage: Eukaryota; Metazoa; Cnidaria; Anthozoa; Malacalcyonacea; Plexauridae. The record is from RNAcentral.
ACCACUCCCACAAACGUCUACGACCGCGCCUACAUAGUUUUGCAUGUUUACAAUUCUAAUUUUAAACAGCCAAUCAGGUUCUUGGUAACAAUUGCAAUUAAACGUCGAUUGGCUGUUUAAUUAAAAUUAGAAUUGUAAACAUGCAAAAAUAUGUAGGCGCGGUCGUAGACGUUUGUGGGAGUGGU